Molecule: ribosomal RNA, 459 nt
Filed under: Actinobaculum sp. F507B
Lineage: Bacteria; Bacillati; Actinomycetota; Actinomycetes; Actinomycetales; Actinomycetaceae
Description: bacterial SSU rRNA
Rfam family: Bacterial small subunit ribosomal RNA
Source: RNAcentral
CGGCGUGCUUAACACAUGCAAGUCGAACGAUGAAGCCUGCAACUUGUUGUGGGUGGAUUAGUGGCGAACGGGUGAGUAAUACGUGGGUAACCUGCCCUCCUUUUUGGGAUAAGCCUUGGAAACGGGGUCUAAUACCGAAUAUUCUGGCGCUCUCGCAUGGGGGUGUUGGGAAAGCUUUAGUGUGAAGGGGGAUGGGCUCGCGGCCUAUCAGCUUGUUGGUGGGGUGAUGGCCUACCAAGGCGGUGACGGGUAGCCGGCCUGAGAGGGUGACCGGCCACAUUGGGACUGAGAUACGGCCCAGACUCCUACGGGAGGCAGCAGUGGGGGAUAUUGCACAAUGGGCGAAAGCCUGAUGCAGCGACGCCGCGUGGGGGAUGAAGGCUUUCGGGUUGUAAACCUCUUUCGCUAUCGAACAAGGCUCAUUUUUUGGUGGGUUGAGGGUAGGUGGAGAAGAAGCGC